AAGUCGUAACAAGGUUUCCGUAGGUGAACCUGCGGAAGGAUCAUUAUAGAAUUAUAGGUGAGGGUUGUCGCUGGCCUCCUCGGGGGCAUGUGCACGCCCGAGCUCUUAAAUCCACAACACACCUGUGAACCCACCGUGGGCCUCUCGCGGGGCUUACCUUUAUAUACUCUGAAUGUCUCAUAGAACGUCGAAUUGUUUGCCUUAAAAACGCAAUCAAAUACAACUUUCAACAACGGAUCUCUUGGCUCUC
Molecule: unclassified non-coding RNA, 250 nt
Filed under: Amphinema sp. (in: basidiomycete fungi)
Lineage: Eukaryota; Fungi; Basidiomycota; Agaricomycetes; Atheliales; Atheliaceae
Description: Amphinema sp. (in: Fungi) partial internal transcribed spacer region
Rfam family: Eukaryotic small subunit ribosomal RNA (bases 1-46)
Source: RNAcentral